AUGGCAGGUGUGCUGAAGAAGACCACUGGCCUCAUGGGAUUGGCUGUAUGCAAGAGUCCACACAAGACAAGCAACUAAAAUCAGUCUGCUAAAAUGUAAGAGGCUAAGAAUAUUGUACACAAAGAUCCUUGAUGUUCUUAAGCAAACCCCUUAAAAAGCAGCACAUAGAAAGUAUACAGAACAGAUUGCAGAUGAGAAAUUGGCUAUGGUUAAAGCAGAACCAGAUGUUAAAAAAUUAGAAGACCAACUUCAAGGUGUUCAAAUAAAAGAGGUGAUUCUUCAGGCUGAAAAUGAACUAAGUCUGGCAAGAAAAAUGAUACAGUGGAAAUGAUAGGAGAUGUUCAUGGAAGAGCCUCCUGCCAAUCAAUGGAAAUGGCCAAUGUAA
RNAcentral lists this long non-coding RNA (385 nucleotides) under Homo sapiens (human). Its description in RNAcentral is "non-protein coding lnc-OR13J1-1:1". The record is from RNAcentral. Lineage: Eukaryota; Metazoa; Chordata; Mammalia; Primates; Hominidae.